Molecule: ribosomal RNA, 3088 nt
Filed under: Nakaseomyces bracarensis
Lineage: Eukaryota; Fungi; Ascomycota; Saccharomycetes; Saccharomycetales; Saccharomycetaceae
Description: LSU rRNA
Rfam family: Bacterial large subunit ribosomal RNA
Source: RNAcentral
UCAUGGAAUACAUGUAUUUUAUAUAUUUAAUUUAAUAUAUAUAAAAUAAUACUAUUAAUAGUUAUAUAGGUUACUAAUAAAAUAUUUAUUUUAUUUAAAUAUUUUUAAUACCUAAAGAGAAAUCUUUUAUAUAUAUAUAUAUUUAAUUAUAUAUAUAUAUUAUAAUAUAUACUAAGUGAAUUGAAACAUCUUAUUAACUUAAGGAAAAUAAAUCAACAGAGAUAUUAUGAGUAUUGGUGAGAGAAAAUAAUAUAGUCUUAAUAAGUAUUAUAUAUUAAUUAUAUGUAAGAAUUAUUAAAGGAUUAACAAAUUCUAAGACUAAAUACUAUUAAUAAGUUAAAAAAGUACCGUGAGGGAAAGUAUGUAAAUGGUUAUUUUAUAAGCAAUUAUAGAUAUUAUAUAUUAAUAUCAAUAAUGUACCUUUUGUAUAAUGGGUCAGCAAGUAAUUAAUAUUAGCAAAAAUUAUAAUAAUUUAUAUAAAAAUAGAAAUAUAAAAAAUAUAUAUUUAAUAAUAUAUUUAUUAGUUAAUAUUAAUUGACCCGAAAGCAUAUGAUCUUACCAUGACAAGAUGGUUAAAAACGAUCGAACAGGUUAAUGUUGCAAAAUUAUCUGAUUAGUUGUGGUAAGUUAUGAAAGAUAAAUCUGAUAUGCAGAUAGCUGGUUUUCUAUGAAAUAUAUGUUAGUAUAGCCCUUAUAAAUUAUAAUUAUUAUUAAUCUUAUUAAUUUAAGAUAUAAAAUAUAGAUAUGGUACAGCAAUUAAUAUAAAUAUUAUAUAUAUAAUAUAUAUAUAUAAUAGUAUUGGGGAAUUAUUAUAAUUUUAUCAAUAAUAUUUAAUCUCGAAAUAUUUAAUUAAUAUAAUAUAUUUAUAUAUAUUUAGAUAUAAAUAUAAUAUAUAUUUAUAAGGAGUCAGAUUAUGUGCGAUAAGGUAAAUAAUCUAAAGGGAAACAGCCCAGAUUAAUAUAUAAAGUUCCUAAUUUUAUAAAAAUAUCAUAAAAAAAAAGAUAUUUAUAAUUUAAUAAUUAUUAAUUUAAUUAUUAAAUAAUAAUAAGUGAAAAUAAUAUUAAAAUAUUAUAAUAUAAUCAGUUAAUGGGUUUGACAAUAACCACUUUUUAAUGAACAUGUAACAAUGCACUGAUCAAUAAUUUAAUAAAUAAUAUUUAAAAACAUAUAAAUAUUUAAUUUAUAUGAUAAUAAACAAUAUACGGAUCUUAUUAAAGUAAAAAUUAUUAAACUGAAUAUUUAAAUAAUUAUAAUUAAAUUAAUUAUAAUUAUGGUAAUAGAACAUCUAAUGAUAAAGUAUAUUAAUUAAAUAUUAAUAUAUAUUCAAAUAAUUAGAUAGAGAAUGCUGACAUGAGUAACGAUAAAGAAGUUAAAACUUCUUCACCUAAAACAUAAGGUUUUACUAUAAAAGUACGGCCUCUAAUAUAAAUAUGAAUAAAAAUAUAUUAUAGAUGGUAAAAAACUAAAUAACAUAAAAUAUUAUCUUUUUAUAUAUAAUAUUAUUUAUAUAUUAUAUAAAUAAUUAAAGAUCAGGAAAUAUAUGUUAUAUUAUACCGUAAUGUAGACCGACUCAGGUAUGUUAGUAGAGAAUAUGAAGGUGUAUUAGAUAAUUAAGGAUAAGGAACUCGGCAAAAAUAGCUCUAACGUUAGUCAAUAAAGAGAUAUAAAAACAAGGUUGUACAACUGUUUACUAAAAACACCGCACUUUGCGAAAACUUAUUAGUUAUAGUAUAAGGUGUGAACUCUGCUCAAUGCUUAAUAUAUAAAUUAUAUAUUUAAUAUUAGAAUAUAUAAAUAAAUUUAAGUAAAUAGCAGCCUUAUUAUGAGGGUUAUAAUGUAGCGAAAUUCCUUGGCUGAUAAUUACAGUCCCGCAUGAAUGACGUAAUGAUACAACAACUGUCUCAUCCUUAAACUAAGUGAAAUUGAAUUUGCAGUGAAGAUGCUGUAUAUUUGUAGUUAGACAAGAAGACCCUAUGCAGCUUUACUAUAAUUAGAUAGAUCGAAUUAUUAUUUAUUAUAUUCAGAUAUAUUAAGUAAUAUAAUAUAUAUAUUAUAUAUAUAUUAUUAAUCGUUUAGAUAUAAAUGAGAUACUUAUUAUAAUAUUAUAAUAAUUCUAAUCUUUAUAAAACAUCAUAUUUAAUAGAAAUAUAUUCUUAAAUAUAAUUUAUUAAUUAUAUAUAUAUUUAUUAAUUUAAAUAUAUUAUAUAUAAAUAAAUAUUAAAAGAGACAAUCUCUAAUUGGUAGUUUUGAUGGGGCGUCAUUUUCAGCAAAAGUAUCUGAAUAAGUCCAUAUAUAAAUUAUAUUAUUAUUUAUUAAAAUAAAAUAUAUAUUAUAUAUAUUAAUUAUAAAAUAUAUUAUAUAAUAUUUUUUAUAUUAUAUAAUAUAAUAAUAGAAAAAUUAUGUAUAGUAAAAUUGUCAGGAAAACAAUAAUAAUUAUAAUUAUUUAUUAUAAUUUAUUAAAUUAAUAUAAUGGUAUAACUAUGCAAAGAUUAUAACACAAACAAGUGAAAUAAGUACGUAAGUAUGGCAUAAUGAACAAAUAAUACUGAUUGUAAAGGUUAUUGAUAACGAAUAAAAGUUACGCUAGGGAUAACAGGGUAAUAUAACGAAAGAGUAGAAAUUGUAAGUUAUGUUUGCCACCUCGAUGUCGACUCUACCUAUCCUCUUGGUUGUAAAAGCUAAGAAGGGUUCGACUGUUCGUCGAUUAAAAGGUAACGUGAGUUGGGUUAAAUACGACGUGAGUCAGUAUGGUUUUUAUCUACUACAAAUAAUAUUAUCUAAUUAAGUCUCAUUAUUAGUACGCAAGGACCAUAAUGAAUUAACCUAUGGUGUAUCUAUUAAUUAUUUAAAUAUAAUACUUAAUUAAUUAAUUAUUAUAUUCUAUAUUUAUUUAUACUAUAUAAAUAGUUAUAGUAGAUAAGCUAAGUUAAUAAAUAAUAAAUAUUGAAUACAUAUAAAAUAUGAAGUAGUCUUAAUAAUGAUAAUUUAUACUAAUAAUUUUAUACUAAAAUUUAUUAUAGGUUUUAUAUAUAUUUUAAUAUACAUAAAAUACUAAUUUAUUAGUUAUCUAUAUAAUAUCUAAUCUAUU